ACUGUUGGGGGCUUACAACACCCUGACUGAAGAGGGGAUAUAUGGGACAUGAAGAACUGAUCAGCAGUGAGAUAAUUCUGACUCAGCUUAGAACAAACAUCACUCUCUGCCAGACAAUUCCUAAUCUUGACCCAAUUCUUAGAAUUCACCACAUGAUUUCUGAGCCAAGAAGAGAAUCCUUCAAGCCUAUACUCUUUAUAACCCCUUCCAGGGACAUCAUACCCACCAUCUGCGCGCGUGACAACAAAAGCGAAAACCAGAAGGAUCAAGAGAAGUCCGAUGAGAAUGGCCAUGCAGCAGAGGUAAAAUGCGAGGAGUGUUUCCUUAUACCAGUAAGCACCAACAAAGCCUGCAAGGGAGACAAGGAGAACGAGGAUUCCAAGCAGGACGACAGGCCAACGGAAGUAGUGGAUGCACUCGUUGUCGGGUUUGGAGGCAAGCCAGAUACCAGAGGCAAUUAUGGGAAUUGAGCAGAGGAAGGCUACAAAGUUUAGAACUGCUGUGAUGUUAUUGGCUACUCCCAUGGUGGAUGAAGAGAGAAAUCGAGUAGAGUAACUGAGUCUUGAGCUCUAGGACUCGGACCACAACAAGAAGAAGUGUUUCAACUUGGGUGAAAGAAAGAUAGGAACCAAGAAAGGCAUGUGGCAUGCGUUGAGAGUUGUGGCUGAGGAUUUGUUUGGAGAGUUUCUUGACUAUAUUAUUACCUUCUU
RNAcentral lists this unclassified non-coding RNA (710 nucleotides) under Hevea brasiliensis (rubber tree). The record is from RNAcentral. Lineage: Eukaryota; Viridiplantae; Streptophyta; Magnoliopsida; Malpighiales; Euphorbiaceae.